UGCCCCAUGGCUGAGUUGGUUACAGCGUCCGACUGUUAAGAUCACAUCAUGUGACUGGCAUCGGAAGGUCGUGAGUUCGAGCCUCACUGGGGCAG
This 95-nucleotide transfer RNA is filed under the name Leucogyrophana mollusca. RNAcentral describes it as "tRNA-Asn". It matches the Rfam family "tRNA". Rfam says of the family: Transfer RNA (tRNA) molecules are approximately 80 nucleotides in length. Their secondary structure includes four short double-helical elements and three loops (D, anti-codon, and T loops). Lineage: Eukaryota; Fungi; Basidiomycota; Agaricomycetes; Boletales. The record is from RNAcentral.